RNAcentral lists this ribosomal RNA (697 nucleotides) under uncultured prokaryote. RNAcentral's name for it is "bacterial SSU rRNA". It matches the Rfam family "Bacterial small subunit ribosomal RNA", at positions 31 to 713 of the family's 1533-position model. The record is from RNAcentral.
GAAGGAGGUGGCGUUGCCUAUCUGCAGUCGAGCGAACUGAUUAGAAGCUUGCUUCUAUGACGUUAGCGGCGGACGGGUGAGUAACACGUGGGCAACCUGCCUGUAAGACUGGGAUAACUUCGGGAAACCGAAGCUAAUACCGGAUAGGAUCUUCUCCUUCAUGGGAGAUGAUUGAAAGAUGGUUUCGGCUAUCACUUACAGAUGGGCCCGCGGUGCAUUAGCUAGUUGGUGAGGUAACGGCUCACCAAGGCAACGAUGCAUAGCCGACCUGAGAGGGUGAUCGGCCACACUGGGACUGAGACACGGCCCAGACUCCUACGGGAGGCAGCAGUAGGGAAUCUUCCGCAAUGGACGAAAGUCUGACGGAGCAACGCCGCGUGAGUGAUGAAGGCUUUCGGGUCGUAAAACUCUGUUGUUAGGGAAGAACAAGUACGAGAGUAACUGCUCGUACCUUGACGGUACCUAACCAGAAAGCCACGGCUAACUACGUGCCAGCAGCCGCGGUAAUACGUAGGUGGCAAGCGUUAUCCGGAAUUAUUGGGCGUAAAGCGCGCGCAGGCGGUUUCUUAAGUCUGAUGUGAAAGCCCACGGCUCAACCGUGGAGGGCAUUGGAAACUGUUGAACUUGAGUGCAGAAGAGAAAAAGCGGAAUUCCCCGUGUAGCGUUGAAAUGUGUAUAUACGUGUAGUAUCCCCAGU